This 206-nucleotide ribosomal RNA is filed under the name uncultured bacterium. Its description in RNAcentral is "partial 16S ribosomal RNA". It matches the Rfam family "Bacterial small subunit ribosomal RNA", at positions 568 to 774 of the family's 1533-position model. The record is from RNAcentral.
AGCGCAGGCGGUUUCUUAAGUCUGAUGUGAAAGCCUUCGGCUCAACCGAAGAAGUGCAUCGGAAACUGGGAAACUUGAGUGCAGAAGAGGACAGUGGAACUCCAUGUGUAGCGGUGAAAUGCGUAGAUAUAUGGAAGAACACCAGUGGCGAAGGCGGCUGUCUGGUCUGUAACUGACGCUGAGGCUGAAAGCAUGGGUAGCAAACA